RNAcentral lists this ribosomal RNA (1270 nucleotides) under Faecalibacterium sp. Marseille-P9590. RNAcentral's name for it is "bacterial SSU rRNA". It matches the Rfam family "Bacterial small subunit ribosomal RNA", at positions 146 to 1440 of the family's 1533-position model. The record is from RNAcentral. Lineage: Bacteria; Bacillati; Bacillota; Clostridia; Eubacteriales; Oscillospiraceae.
ACAGUUGGAAACGACUGCUAAUACCGCAUAAGCCCACGGCUCGGCAUCGAGCAGAGGGAAAAGGAGCAAUCCGCUUUGAGAUGGCCUCGCGUCCGAUUAGCUAGUUGGUGAGGUAACGGCCCACCAAGGCGACGAUCGGUAGCCGGACUGAGAGGUUGAACGGCCACAUUGGGACUGAGACACGGCCCAGACUCCUACGGGAGGCAGCAGUGGGGAAUAUUGCACAAUGGGGGAAACCCUGAUGCAGCGACGCCGCGUGGAGGAAGAAGGUCUUCGGAUUGUAAACUCCUGUUGUUGAGGAAGAUAAUGACGGUACUCAACAAGGAAGUGACGGCUAACUACGUGCCAGCAGCCGCGGUAAAACGUAGGUCACAAGCGUUGUCCGGAAUUACUGGGUGUAAAGGGAGCGCAGGCGGGAGAACAAGUUGGAAGUGAAAUCCAUGGGCUCAACCCAUGAACUGCUUUCAAAACUGUUUUUCUUGAGUAGUGCAGAGGUAGGCGGAAUUCCCGGUGUAGCGGUGGAAUGCGUAGAUAUCGGGAGGAACACCAGUGGCGAAGGCGGCCUACUGGGCACCAACUGACGCUGAGGCUCGAAAGUGUGGGUAGCAAACAGGAUUAGAUACCCUGGUAGUCCACACCGUAAACGAUGAUUACUAGGUGUUGGAGGAUUGACCCCUUCAGUGCCGCAGUUAACACAAUAAGUAAUCCACCUGGGGAGUACGACCGCAAGGUUGAAACUCAAAGGAAUUGACGGGGGCCCGCACAAGCAGUGGAGUAUGUGGUUUAAUUCGACGCAACGCGAAGAACCUUACCAAGUCUUGACAUCCCUUGACGAUGCUGGAAACAGUAUUUCUCUUCGGAGCAAGGAGACAGGUGGUGCAUGGUUGUCGUCAGCUCGUGUCGUGAGAUGUUGGGUUAAGUCCCGCAACGAGCGCAACCCUUAUGGUCAGUUACUACGCAAGAGGACUCUGGCCAGACUGCCGUUGACAAAACGGAGGAAGGUGGGGAUGACGUCAAAUCAUCAUGCCCUUUAUGACUUGGGCUACACACGUACUACAAUGGCGUUAAACAAAGAGAAGCAAGACCGCGAGGUGGAGCAAAACUCAGAAACAACGUCCCAGUUCGGACUGCAGGCUGCAACUCGCCUGCACGAAGUCGGAAUUGCUAGUAAUCGUGGAUCAGCAUGCCACGGUGAAUACGUUCCCGGGCCUUGUACACACCGCCCGUCACACCAUGAGAGCCGGGGGGACCCGAAGUCGGUAGUCUAACC